RNAcentral lists this long non-coding RNA (1117 nucleotides) under Pan troglodytes (chimpanzee). RNAcentral describes it as "long non-coding RNA NONPTRT007125". Lineage: Eukaryota; Metazoa; Chordata; Mammalia; Primates; Hominidae. The record is from RNAcentral.
GGAGGAGUGCCUAAGGCCUUCCUCCUACCACUAAUCCUGAGGAUUGUAAAGGCGGAGUUUGCUAAGGCCUGGGGAAAGGGCUGGUCUUGGAGGACAAACCAACCAUUCCCUAUAGCUGGCCUGCUAUUCAGAGGUCUUUGACCCCCACCUUUCCUACCCUCCCACCUCUAUAUUCAGUCAAAGGAGGCUUUUUCCUCUGGUACCUUGUCCUCUAUGGAGACCUGUUGCUUAGCAACCACUAGUGCUUUCUUCUUAAUAACUAACACGGACGGAGAGAUAAAAUAUCUGUGUCUAUAUUCAGUUCCCCUCCCCUGUCUAUUUAUAUUUAAUAACGAAGCCCUGUCUUGGGUUCCCUUAGCACCUGCCUUAGAGAGCUCUUAGAGGGAUUAUCCGCAGCCUGAAGAAAGAAGGUUACAACUGAGGAAGAACUUCUGAACAGGGAAGAGUGGAAGAAAAGACUGCAGUAGGCUCAGCUCCAGAAGCAGACCCAGAAUGGCAUCCUUCUCUGAGACCCAGACCCCAGCCCCUCUUCAUGGAAGACCAGCACAAAGGAGGAAGUAGGUUAGGGAAUGGUAAGGCUCCAUGUGAUGGGACUAAUGUGGAGAGGCCUGGGGCCUUUCCCUGAGGACUGGAUGGCUGGAGUUUGGGAGCCUGAGUUGACAGAGGAGGCUAAGCCCGGGCAGCUACUUUGUUCCAGAAAUCUAAGGUCCCUGGAGGGAGGCUCUGCUUUGGGAGGGGGAAGGGAGCUAACAUUGCAGAGCACCAACUGUGAACCAGGUACAAUGGCAGAGCCUUUCCAUACCUGUACUCACAACUAGCGGGUGAGGAGUCAAGGCAAAUAGGUGUCUCAUAGCUCCCCAUAUCUCGGCAGUCGACCACCUCCUCCUUUGAUUCUCUGAUGUCACUGCCAGUUCUCCUCCUAUUGCUCUGACCUGUCUUUCUCUGUGUCCUUUGCAAACUCAUUCUCAACUCCUUAGACUCAGUCAAGUCCCCCAGUUACACACUUCCAUGGUACUAUAUAUCGUUCCUUCAGAGCACUUAACACAGUUAUUUCCUAUGUAUUUGUCCAGUCAUUUGAAUAAUGAUCCUAGUUUCAUUGGAUGGAAAGUUCCACAAG